This 235-nucleotide ribosomal RNA is filed under the name uncultured bacterium. Its description in RNAcentral is "partial 16S ribosomal RNA". It matches the Rfam family "Bacterial small subunit ribosomal RNA", at positions 96 to 334 of the family's 1533-position model. The record is from RNAcentral.
UGGCGGACGGGUGAGUAAUGUCUGGGAAACUGCCCGAUGGAGGGGGAUAACUACUGGAAACGGUAGCUAAUACCGCAUAACGUCGCAAGACCAAAGAGGGGGACCUUCGGGCCUCUUGCCAUCGGAUGUGCCCAUAUGGGAUUAGCUAGUAGGUAAGGUAACGGCUUACCUAGGCGACGAUCCCUAGCUGGUCUGAGAGGAUGAUCAGCCACACUGGGACUGAGACACGGCCCAG